CCAUNGAAACUGGCGAACUUGAGUACAGUAGAGGUAGGCGGAAUUCGUGGUGUAGCGGUGAAAUGCUUAGAUNUCACGAAGAACUCCGAUUGCGAANGCAGCUUGCUGGACUGUAACUGACGCUGAGGCACGAGAGCGUGGGGAUCAAACAGGAUUAGAUACCCUGGUAGNCCACGCCNUAANCGAUGAAUGCUAGCUGUUAGCGAUAUACUGUUAGCGGCACAGAGAAAUCGUUAAGCAUUCCACCUGGGGAGUACGCCGGCAACGGUGAAACUCAAAGGAAUUGACGGGGGCCCGCACAAGCGGAGGAACAUGUGGUUUAAUUCGAUGAUACGCGAGGAACCUUACCUGGGCUUAAAUUGCAGUGGAAUAACGUGGAAACAUGUUAGCCUUCGGGCCGCUGUGAAGGUGCUGCAUGGUUGUCGUCAGCUCGUGCCGUGAGGUGUCGGCUUAAGUGCCAUAACGAGCGCAACCCUCAUCGAUAGUUACUAACAGAUUAAGCUGAGGACUCUAUCGAGACUGCCGACGUAAGUCGUGAGGAAGGUGGGGAUGACGUCAAAUCAGCACGGCCCUUACGUCCAGGGCUACACACGUGUUACAAUGGGGGGUACAAAGGGCAGCUACCUGGCGACAGGAUGCUAAUCUCAAAAACCUCUCUCAGUUCGGAUUGGAGUCUGCAACCCGACUCCAUGAAGCUGGAUUCGCUAGUAAUCGCGCAUCAGCCACGGCGCGGUGAAUACGUUCCCGGGCCUUGUACACACCGCCCGUCAAGCCAUGGGAGCCGGGGGGACCUGAAGUAUGCAACCGUAAGGAGCGUCCUAGGGUAAAACUGGUGACUGGGGCU
Molecule: ribosomal RNA, 844 nt
Filed under: uncultured prokaryote
Description: bacterial SSU rRNA
Rfam family: Bacterial small subunit ribosomal RNA
Source: RNAcentral